GCAACUGUGUGUUAACUUGGUGGUUUUCAAGACUUCAGCGAGAUUCACAUUGCCGUUUUUUUCCUUUUUUUCAAAGUAUAUGAGUUCCAUUUCAAUUUAUUUUUAUUUGAGCUUGCAAUUUUUUAACAUCAACAGGAAAAUUCAAAGACAGAUCAGAGCCUUAUUCAAGUAUCAGUAAUAUUAUCUAAGUUUUUCUUCAUCAUAAACAUGUUUAUCAACAAAAAUGUGUC
RNAcentral lists this long non-coding RNA (230 nucleotides) under Mytilus galloprovincialis (Mediterranean mussel). Lineage: Eukaryota; Metazoa; Mollusca; Bivalvia; Mytilida; Mytilidae. The record is from RNAcentral.